RNA transcript from Mus musculus (house mouse), 7742 nucleotides. It is a transcript of the gene named DEAD box helicase 17, with no coding region annotated. The transcript has 13 exons. The record is from RefSeq and is marked reviewed. Lineage: Eukaryota; Metazoa; Chordata; Mammalia; Rodentia; Muridae.
ACCCCCAGCCAACGUUCUAGAGCUGGCGGUGCGAGAACCCUACGCCGGUUGCGCACAUUGCCUUGUUUAAGGUGGGCCGACCAGGGCCCCCAUCUCCGUCACCGACGUAAAGCGGUUCCGAGAAUGUCCGUGGCGUCGCGCGGAGCCCUCCAGACGCUGUUUACGUAGCGUCUGGGCCGUGCGUAGCGUUAAGUUGGAGCGGUCUCCGCGGCCGCCGCCAUUUUGUGCAGUUGCUGGGAAGGAAGGGAGACGCCUCAACCGUGGCACCGCCCGGUUUGAGCGGGACCAGACCUCCCGACUGUCCUAACAACCCCGAUUCUCUGAGUUGUGCUCCCGUCUCCGACGAGAGAGGCGGCGACGGUGGCGUCUGCGACGGGAGACAGCGCGUCGGAGCGAGACAGCGCCGCGCCUGCCGCCGCCCCAACAGCGGAGGCGCCGCCGCCGCCAUCGGUCAUCACUAGACCCGAGCCGCAGGCCCUCCCGAGCUCGGUCAUCCGUGCCCCGCUCCCAGAUCUUUAUCCGUUUGGGACCAUGCGUGGAGGCGGCUUUGGGGAUCGGGAUCGUGACAGGGACCGUGGAGGGUUUGGAGCAAGAGGUGGUAGUGGGCUUCCCCCUAAGAAGUUUGGUAAUCCUGGGGAGCGGUUACGAAAAAAGAAGUGGGAUUUGAGUGAACUCCCUAAAUUUGAGAAGAAUUUUUAUGUUGAGCAUCCAGAAGUAGCAAGACUGACUCCGUAUGAGGUUGAUGAGCUACGGCGUAAGAAAGAGAUUACAGUGAGAGGGGGAGAUGUUUGUCCAAAACCUGUCUUUGCCUUCCAUCAUGCUAACUUUCCACAGUAUGUGAUGGAUGUGCUGAUGGAUCAGCACUUUACAGAACCCACUCCCAUUCAGUGCCAGGGAUUUCCUUUGGCUCUUAGUGGCAGGGAUAUGGUUGGCAUUGCACAGACUGGCUCUGGGAAGACAUUGGCGUAUUUGCUGCCUGCGAUUGUUCAUAUAAACCACCAGCCAUACUUGGAAAGAGGAGAUGGUCCAAUUUGUCUAGUGCUGGCUCCUACCAGAGAGCUUGCGCAGCAGGUGCAGCAGGUGGCUGACGAUUAUGGAAAAUGCUCCAGGUUGAAGAGUACGUGCAUUUACGGAGGUGCUCCUAAAGGUCCCCAAAUUCGAGACUUGGAAAGAGGUGUUGAGAUUUGCAUAGCCACUCCUGGGCGCCUAAUAGAUUUCCUGGAGUCAGGAAAGACAAACCUUCGCCGAUGUACUUACCUUGUGUUGGAUGAGGCUGACCGGAUGCUUGAUAUGGGCUUUGAGCCCCAGAUCCGUAAAAUUGUUGAUCAAAUCAGGCCUGACCGGCAGACACUGAUGUGGAGUGCAACCUGGCCGAAGGAAGUGAGGCAGCUUGCAGAGGAUUUCCUGCGGGACUACACCCAGAUCAAUGUGGGCAAUCUGGAGCUGAGUGCCAACCACAACAUCCUACAGAUUGUAGAUGUCUGUAUGGAGAGUGAAAAAGACCACAAAUUGAUCCAGCUGAUGGAGGAAAUCAUGGCGGAAAAGGAAAAUAAGACUAUAAUAUUUGUGGAGACAAAGAGGCGCUGUGAUGACCUCACACGAAGAAUGCGCAGAGAUGGUUGGCCUGCUAUGUGUAUCCAUGGAGACAAGAGUCAACCAGAAAGAGAUUGGGUACUUAAUGAGUUCCGAUCUGGAAAGGCUCCUAUCCUCAUUGCCACGGAUGUAGCCUCCCGUGGGCUAGGUUUGUAUAGAUAGGUGUCUCUAUCAGUGCUUUGUUUAUCUUUUGGUUUAAAAAAUUUUUUUUGUCAUGUCAGAUUUGCAAUUGUAUGUACAUGAGUCUAGUUAAAAGAGGGUAUAAGUGUGAUUUUUUUUUUUUCCCUCCCUGCAACUUUCUUUUAACCUUCAUGGGGGUUUUAUUAUUAUUUUGGGUUUUCUGUGGUUCCCACCCCGUUUAUUUUCAAAGUUCCGUCUGGCUCCUAGCAGUCUUUGGUCUGUAACAAGGCUUAGACAUGACUAUUAAAUUACAGUUUUAUGGCUGGAUAGAAGGAGCCUAAUUAGACCUAGCCAUCAGAAGCUGGUUUCUUUAGUUUUCCCUUAUACUAGUCUGUUUACUAUAGAAACAGGGAGACCACUUCAUGAACAUUCACUCAGGGGUUUUGAUUGCUCUCUAUAUAAUGUCAUUCUAUUCAGUCUGCAUUGCCCAGUAUUACUUCAGUAAUAUGAUUGUCAGUUAUCCCUCCCUUUACCCGUUGUUUGGCCUUAGACAUGUUUUCCGGUUUAGAACUUGAUCUGAAGAUAAUCUGAAGUUUUCAACUCCUGCUUUAAAAUACAUACAGAUAGCCAGCCUAUGACACGCUGACCCAGAAUGUUUACAUGUAUAAGGAUUAUCUGGGUGUGGUAAUACACACCUUUGAUCCCCACACUUGGGAGACAGAGGCAUGGUUUCCUUAGUUUGAGGCAAACCUGGUAUGCAUAGUGAGUUGUAGACCAGCCAGGGCUACACUGCUAGGCUCUGUCUCCAGAAAAAGAUUUCUUACAGCUAGGCAUGGUAGUAUAUGCCUGUAAAUUCCAGCACUUGGAAACCUUAGGCAAGAGAUUCAUUUGUUUGAGGGCAACCUACGUUAAAUAGCAGGGUCUUGUUUUAGAGAGCUGGGGUGAUUUCUGUUGGGAGGGAACCAUUAUUGAUGUGUUUAAUUUCCUGCUGAGUAAGGUGAGAAGUACCAAGUUUCCCUGUGCAAUUUAACAUAGAGAUGAUAAGUAUUGAAAUGAGUUCAGCAGUGAUGGAGCCUUUUUAUCCAUUCAAUUUUACUCCUCCUUGAGGUAGUGAGUGACCUGCAGCCAUGGUGGGAAGUUGUCUCUUCCUUCCGAGGUCAUCUCUGGGUCUGUGCCCUUAGAACCGGGGCCUGGGAGAGGAGGCAGAAGCCUGAAAGCAAUUUACAUAAAAAGCUUUCAGUAAUGGUGGUUUUUAAAACAGGCUUGCUAUGUGCUGGUAGCUUCUUUGUGCAUCUUGCCUAGACAAUUAAAAAUUUGUUCUGUCCUUUUGCAUAUUUUAAAAUCAAUUGGCUACCAUUAGAAUAACUUAGACUCUUCAUCCCACCCUCCCUCAUUCAAGUGAGGGAGAGGGAAGGUGCCUGAGUCUGUUUCUUGUUACUCAACAUCAGUGCUUGUUUUGGGCCCCUUUGUUUGCUGCCUUGUAAAAAUCAAAAGGAGGGAGAAAACCCACCACAAAUGGCAGAAUUCUGACCAAGGUCCUCCAAGAUCCUGGAAAGUGAAGGCUUCUACCUCAGACAGGGGUGCUAUUUUCAGCUGAGUCACCAGGCCUUUUUUCACUUCUGUGGAGCGAUGGUCUCUUAAAUGAUCCCUUCAGGUAAGUUCUUUGACUCCCAUAGUUCCUAAUAGUCAUCUUGAGGUGACCACUGUUCCCUUUCCACUGGGAUAUUUUUUAUUUUGCUUUUUUCUUUUUUUUCUUUUUCUUUUUUUUUCUUUUUUUGUUUAAACUACACACUGUUGAACUAAAAGUAUUGAAUUUAUUUCAUUUUGUUUUUUAACAGAAGCUUUGAUAUCAACUGCAGAUCACUCAGUACAUGGCUGAGGCAAAUCUCCAUUGGCCCGAAGCCACUCUAGAUGAGCCUGCUGACUCUCCCAGUUAGUGAGUGGAGUUUCAGGCCAUGGCAUAGGGCUUUCCAAACCACAUGUUCUCCCAGGCCAGGGGCCAAACAUAUAACUUUGCAUUUCUUACCCUGCUACAGCAUCGUCUAUAAAGACAGCAAGAUAAUAUUGUGGCAGUGCACCAGUAACCUCAGGGCAGCCUGGGCUGGAGAAACCCGAUUCUAGGCUUGCUCUUAGGUGGCCUUCAGUCAGCUGUGCACACACAGGACACCCUUCUAGCAUGAAGAACUUUUGCACCGUGUCCACCCCUUAUCGAGCCCCUCCAGAAGUACUCCCAGCUGUUAGCCUCUGAAGCCCCAGUGCUUGCUGCUUGGAAAGCACGCUUCCGUGCAUCCAGUGCAGUAACUCAGCGUGCUCUGUGUCCAUGGCCACUCAGUGCGAGUGACUGCGGAGCAUUAGUGAAGCUUGAAGAAGUGCUCAUGGAGUUAACCCCCGCCCCGCCCCGCCUCACCCUUCCAUCCUUGCCCCGUUAUAUUUUUUUCUUGUGGCAUCAACGACCCAAGCCGGAGACUCAAGCUGCCCCCUGUGAUAAGUGCCUUCUCGUCUUUCUGGUGUGAUUCAGGACUUUAGGGGUCAGUAAAGACUGAGGAGCCUUUAUCGUAAUAAGAAACAGACAUAAUGCCCCUACUUCACAUGCCCCUAACAACAGCUGAAUUUUUUUAAAAAUCAUCUCCCCCUUACCCCUGAAAUUAAUCCAGUCUGGGCAAUAGAUGCAGUCUGACCCUUUGGAUGUAACUUUUUUUUUUUUAAUUUUUCUACAAUCACCCCAAUUACCUUGGGGAGGCGUUGGAGGACCUGAAAUUUUUACCUGAACCCAGGUUCUCCGGCGCUUGGCAACCAAAUGGGGCUACAGAGAAGCAUCUAAGCCAGUUCACAGAGCGAGCGUGUGUGGGGACUUCUCACUGCCACGGACCCUUGAUGCAUGCUCCCCGCGCUCCAGUGGUCCCGUGUCAGAAGGCGGAGUUUUCGAAAGGAGGCCGCCAAAUAUAAAAGGCAAAGAGACGGGAUCGGCUGCAGCGGUUUCCCAAAGGAGGAGGGAGUGUGCAUCGGUCUGAUGUGGAAGAUGUCAAGUUUGUCAUCAACUACGAUUAUCCAAACAGCUCAGAGGAUUAUGUUCACCGUAUUGGCCGAACGGCCCGCAGCACCAACAAGGGCACUGCCUAUACUUUCUUUACCCCGGGCAACCUGAAGCAGGCUAGAGAGCUGAUCAAAGUAUUGGAAGAGGCCAAUCAAGCCAUCAAUCCAAAAUUGAUGCAGCUUGUGGACCACAGAGGUGGCGGCGGAGGAGGGGGAGGCCGCUCACGAUACCGGACUACUUCUUCAGCCAACAAUCCCAAUCUGAUGUAUCAGGACGAGUGUGACCGGAGGCUUCGAGGGGUCAAGGAUGGUGGCCGGAGAGAUUCUACAAGCUACAGGGAUCGUAGUGAAACCGAUAGAGCCAGUUAUGCUAAUGGCAGUGGCUAUGGAAGCCCAAAUUCUGCCUUUGGGGCACAAGCAGGCCAAUACACCUAUGCUCAAGGCACCUAUGGGGCAGCUGCCUAUGGCACCAGUGGCUACACGGCGCAGGAGUAUGCUGCUGGCACUUACGGGGCGAGCAGCACUGCCUCAGCAGGGAGGAGCUCUCAGAGCUCCAGCCAGCAGUUUAGUGGGAUAGGCCGAUCUGGGCAGCAGCCACAGCCACUGAUGUCACAGCAGUUUGCACAGCCUCCAGGAGCUACCAAUAUGAUAGGCUACAUGGGGCAGACUGCUUACCAGUACCCUCCCCCUCCCCCUCCCCCUCCUCCAUCUCGCAAAUGAAACUGCAUGGCAGGAGUGACUCGUGCAGAUGAAUUACACAUCUAAAGGAACACUGUCUUUUACCCUUCUAGACCUUUUCAUUUUUAUUUUUUCUUUUCUCAACCAUUACGGUUUAUCUUUUUUUAAUGCAGAUAGUUAAAAUUUCACUGCCAGGUUUCUUCUGCCCACCCAAAAGAUCCAGUCUAUAAUUACAGAUUUUGUAAGAAAAAAUAUAUAUACACAUAACUGACUGGAAAGAAUUAAUUUCUUUCCCCCAGCUUAAUGCAUGUUGAGGAUAUUGAGCUAUUUUUCAUCUUAAAGGUAUUAGGCACUUUUGUUGGAGCCUGUUUAUCCAUGGGAGGGUGGGUAGGGAAGGAGGGACUGCUCUGCAGGAAGUGGUAUCUGUUCUUUAGACUGCUCUCCUUAGGGAGGAGCCAAGAGGGAUUUCCAUGCACACUGCCCAUGGUGGGUUUAAGUUACUGAAGUUCGAUUACUCAGGCCUGAUGAAUUUUUAAGACUGCUUUGUUGGUCAUUUGGCUGAUGGCUUCUUAUGUGCAUUCAACAGUUAAAAAUUCCUAAUCGAUUCUGUCAUCAUGCCCCCUCCCCACUUGUUCCUGCAGUUAUUAAAUAUUAACCAGGUUAGUGUUGAGUUAGAAAUUACAUUUCUGAGUUCAAGCGUUGUCUUUUUAAGUUUAAAAAACUAUAAAGGGUUGUUUUUACUAGGUAGACUGGCAUCUGGGUAGAGGCUGCCUGGGAUUUUUAUCCCCACAUAACCAGGGGCCAUCUGAAAGUCAUUUUCUAGCCAGAUCAGCCACUGAGCGGUAAGCAUCAGCGCUCAGCAGAGCCUUCCGAGCAGCAUUUAGAAAGCACCUUUGGGAAUGAUGGACUGCAAGGGAGUGGGCGGAUCUUCCUCUUAAACAGUAUUCUUAGAGUAGGAUUGACCUCAUGGGCUGCUCUGCCCACUUGGUCAGGCUCUCCUGAGCAGGACUGCUAAAGAGCUUGCCUCCUCAAAGCCUGGUCUCUGAGGUGCUUUCUAACAGCUGGAGGCACUUGUUCUGGGCUUUCCUUUGCCCUCAGUUUUUCACAGGUAGGUAGUAGCCAUGGAGGGCUGAAGCCCAGGCUCUCCUUACUCUCUGGAGUGUGAAGGUAGGGGUGAGCUCGUCUCACCCCUUUAUUAAAUGCUCCUGGAACUUGGAAGAGCAGCAGAUGAAGUUGGAAAGAAAAUUCUGCUCUUAUCACCUAAACAGGACAGGAGAGCAGAUGCCCCAGCGCCUCUAGUAGAUGGUAGUGGUGGGGCUAGUGUGUGGCUGUUACCUGGGCCGCUCAAAUUCAUUCCAGGGAGGAGGCUCCACUGCAUUCUUUGGCUGUGCCCUGAGGGUGCCUGCUCCUUUGUACGGUAACAGUCAAUUUUGAGGUUUCUUUCAGGAAGAGAAAGGGAUGGUUUUGAGGGGCUCAGAAAAUAGGAUUCAGUGUGUAACAUAACAGGUAGGUUGUCAGCAUGCUUGGCAUUCUUCUGUUUUCCUUACCGUUUUACAGACUAUGAAGCUGAGGGGGGAUGGUAGGCACAGAUGUGUGGCAACCCUGCUCUGUGCUCUGAAACCAAAGUGUGUCCUGUCUUGUCUGUCUCUCACCCUGCCAAAAGCAAGUGUCUAAUCACUGAUGCUGACCAGCCUGUUACAGAUACUUUCUACAACCAAAUUCAGAUUUAUUUUUUAUUAAGCAUUAUACCAUGGGCUGUCCUGUGCUCCUGUCACUCUUCAAAAACACCCCUUCUAUUACUGCCUCCGGGGAUGAAGCAGUAGCUAGGUUGCUUAACCUCCCCUCUCCAGCAGAGGCAUAAUCCAGAUAAGUAGCAGAUGUCAUAUUUCAUAAGCUCUUUUGGCCUGGGUACAGCAGAAAACUAGCAGUUUUCCUACUUGGCGCAAGUGACUUGUGCCUCCUUGUCUGUCCUUUGUCAGCACAGGUGCAGGCAAACCCUUCCAGCUGGGUUAAUUGCCGUUUAUGGUUUACUCACUUAGGGAAAGGGCUUAGGUGUUAGGCUGUGGGCUGCUUCUCCCUAACCAUCCAUUGUGCAGACUUCUCAUCUAAAAAGGUUGGUGGCUUUUGCUUGGGAUCAGUGCUCUGCUAACGCCCUUGCUGGUCUCUCCACACAUUCCUGUCAUUGAGACUUGAAUUGUAGGUGUGAUGUUAUGCACAGGAUGCUCAGAGCUAUGUUACUACUAUUCUUAGUUUGUAAAUUGUCCUUUUGAUACCAUCUUGUUUUCUUUUGUAGGUAUAAAUAAAUACUUGACAAUAAA